UUUACAGUCUGUGUGUCUGUUCUUUCCACUGGAUCUUUGAAAGCAUGACUCAGAAUGAUCAUCCUACAUACAAUUCAGCCACCAUGCUUCCAGCCAAGGAGUAUUGGAUACCUCUACUUUGAGAACCCAUUAAUUAACAGCAGCCCUUAAUUGGCCAGAGAUGAUGUUGUUGAGCAAUGUGAAGCUUUACUUCUCUCAUACUGAGUGAAGGUUUGUGAAGAUUAAUGUUUGUAACACAUUUUGAAGAUUAAUGACCUGAUCCAAUGUCCAGAGAAACCAAUGGAAAGUCUCUCAUGGACUUCAGUCUUAAAAGCCUA
Mauremys reevesii (Reeves's turtle) is the source of this 317-nucleotide long non-coding RNA. RefSeq lists it as uncharacterized. The transcript has 3 exons. The record is from RefSeq and is a predicted model, not a curated record. Lineage: Eukaryota; Metazoa; Chordata; Testudines; Geoemydidae.